ACGCUCGACACCUACGGGAGACAGCAGUGGGGAAUAUUGCACAAUGGGGGAAACCCUGAUGCAGCGACGCCGCGUGAGUGAAGAAGUAUUUCGGUAUGUAAAGCUCUAUCAGCAGGGAAGAAGAUGACGGUACCUGAGUAAGAAGCCCCGGCUAACUACGUGCCAGCACGCCGGACGGUUAAUCUGGAGGCGGGCUGGACGAAGGC
Molecule: ribosomal RNA, 206 nt
Filed under: uncultured bacterium
Lineage: Bacteria
Description: partial 16S ribosomal RNA
Rfam family: Bacterial small subunit ribosomal RNA
Source: RNAcentral